RNAcentral lists this ribosomal RNA (393 nucleotides) under uncultured bacterium. Its description in RNAcentral is "partial 16S ribosomal RNA". It matches the Rfam family "Bacterial small subunit ribosomal RNA", at positions 523 to 918 of the family's 1533-position model. The record is from RNAcentral.
AUACGGAAGGUCCGGGCGUUAUCCGGAUUUAUUGGGUUUAAAGGGAGCGCAGGCGGAGAUGCAAGCGUGACGUCAAAUUUCGGGGCUCAACCCCGUCUCGCGUCGCGAACUGCGUCCCUUGGUUGCGGGAAGGGGAGGCGGAACUCGUGGUGUAGCGGUGAAAUGCAUAGAUAUCACGAAGAACUCCGAUCGCGAAGGCAGCCUUCCGGCCCGUCAACGACGCUCAUGCUCGAAGGUGCGGGUAUCAAACAGGAUUAGAUACCCUGGUAGUCCGCACAGUAAACGAUGGACACCCGCGGUUUGGCCUGUAUGGCUGAGCCGCCAAGCGAAAGCGUUAAGUGUCCCACCUGGGGAGUACGCCGGCAACGGUGAAACUCAAAGGAAUUGACGGGG